UCCCUCUGCCUCGCCGUACGCCGGCCAUCGCCAACCGCUCACAACUCCUCACCGGGGCAUCGGGACUUCUCCUCCACACAUGCCCGAACCACCUCAGCCUCGCUUCUCGCAUCUUCUCACAUCAUAAGAGGUAAUUAUACAUAUUGCUUACAUUGAUGAGGAGAAGUAAGUUCAUCUGAUGAGUCAUCGUCGCCUGGAAUCAUUUCAUCAUAAGAAAAUCUAUUUCUGGUAAGGGAGACCACGGUUUUCUCAAUUAAUGUUAGUGGCCCUCUUACAGUUUCUAUAGAGUUGUCACUUUUC
This 300-nucleotide long non-coding RNA is filed under the name Nicotiana benthamiana. RNAcentral's name for it is "long non-coding RNA (NBEN_LNC035423)". The record is from RNAcentral. Lineage: Eukaryota; Viridiplantae; Streptophyta; Magnoliopsida; Solanales; Solanaceae.